This 1405-nucleotide ribosomal RNA is filed under the name Enterobacter sp. RNAcentral describes it as "bacterial SSU rRNA". It matches the Rfam family "Bacterial small subunit ribosomal RNA". The record is from RNAcentral. Lineage: Bacteria; Pseudomonadati; Pseudomonadota; Gammaproteobacteria; Enterobacterales; Enterobacteriaceae.
UGCAGUCGAGCGGUAGCACAGAGAGCUUGCUCUCGGGUGACGAGCGGCGGACGGGUGAGUAAUGUCUGGGAAACUGCCUGAUGGAGGGGGAUAACUACUGGAAACGGUAGCUAAUACCGCAUAAUGUCGCAAGACCAAAGAGGGGGACCUUCGGGCCUCUUGCCAUCAGAUGUGCCCAGAUGGGAUUAGCUAGUAGGUGGGGUAACGGCUCACCUAGGCGACGAUCCCUAGCUGGUCUGAGAGGAUGACCAGCCACACUGGAACUGAGACACGGUCCAGACUCCUACGGGAGGCAGCAGUGGGGAAUAUUGCACAAUGGGCGCAAGCCUGAUGCAGCCAUGCCGCGUGUAUGAAGAAGGCCUUCGGGUUGUAAAGUACUUUCAGCGGGGAGGAAGGUGUUGAGGUUAAUAACCUCGUCAAUUGACGUUACCCGCAGAAGAAGCACCGGCUAACUCCGUGCCAGCAGCCGCGGUAAUACGGAGGGUGCAAGCGUUAAUCGGAAUUACUGGGCGUAAAGCGCACGCAGGCGGUCUGUCAAGUCGGAUGUGAAAUCCCCGGGCUCAACCUGGGAACUGCAUUCGAAACUGGCAGGCUAGAGUCUUGUAGAGGGGGGUAGAAUUCCAGGUGUAGCGGUGAAAUGCGUAGAGAUCUGGAGGAAUACCGGUGGCGAAGGCGGCCCCCUGGACAAAGACUGACGCUCAGGUGCGAAAGCGUGGGGAGCAAACAGGAUUAGAUACCCUGGUAGUCCACGCCGUAAACGAUGUCGACUUGGAGGUUGUGCCCUUGAGGCGUGGCUUCCGGAGCUAACGCGUUAAGUCGACCGCCUGGGGAGUACGGCCGCAAGGUUAAAACUCAAAUGAAUUGACGGGGGCCCGCACAAGCGGUGGAGCAUGUGGUUUAAUUCGAUGCAACGCGAAGAACCUUACCUACUCUUGACAUCCAGAGAACUUAGCAGAGAUGGAUUGGUGCCUUCGGGAACUCUGAGACAGGUGCUGCAUGGCUGUCGUCAGCUCGUGUUGUGAAAUGUUGGGUUAAGUCCCGCAACGAGCGCAACCCUUAUCCUUUGUUGCCAGCGGUCCGGCCGGGAACUCAAAGGAGACUGCCAGUGAUAAACUGGAGGAAGGUGGGGAUGACGUCAAGUCAUCAUGGCCCUUACGAGUAGGGCUACACACGUGCUACAAUGGCGCAUACAAAGAGAAGCGACCUCGCGAGAGCAAGCGGACCUCAUAAAGUGCGUCGUAGUCCGGAUUGGAGUCUGCAACUCGACUCCAUGAAGUCGGAAUCGCUAGUAAUCGUAGAUCAGAAUGCUACGGUGAAUACGUUCCCGGGCCUUGUACACACCGCCCGUCACACCAUGGGAGUGGGUUGCAAAAGAAGUAGGUAGCUUAACCUUCGGGAGGGCGCU